RNAcentral lists this ribosomal RNA (482 nucleotides) under uncultured bacterium. Its description in RNAcentral is "partial 16S ribosomal RNA". It matches the Rfam family "Bacterial small subunit ribosomal RNA", at positions 30 to 507 of the family's 1533-position model. The record is from RNAcentral.
AUUGAACGCUGGCGGCAUGCCUUACACAUGCAAGUCGAACGGUAACGGGCCUUCGGGUGCCGACGAGUGGCGAACGGGGGAGGAAUACAUCGGAACGUGCCCGAUCGUGGGGGAUAACGAGGCGAAAGCUUUGCUAAUACCGCAUACGAUCUACGGAUGAAAGCAGGGGACCGCAAGGCCUUGCGCGGACGGAGCGGCCGAUGGCAGAUUAGGUAGUUGGUGGGAUAAAAGCUUACCAAGCCGACGAUCUGUAGCUGGUCUGAGAGGAUGAUCAGCCACACUGGGCCUGAGACACGGCCCAGCCUCCUACGGGCGGCAGCAGUGGGGAAUUUUGGACAAUGGGCGCAAGCCUGAUCCAGCCAUGCCGCGUGCAGGAUGAAGGCCUUCGGGUUGUAAACUGCUUUUGUACGGAACGAAAAGCCUUCUUUUAAUACAGGAGGGUCAUGACGGUACCGUAAGAAUAAGCACCGGCUAACUACGUG